Molecule: ribosomal RNA, 459 nt
Filed under: uncultured bacterium
Lineage: Bacteria
Description: partial 16S ribosomal RNA
Rfam family: Bacterial small subunit ribosomal RNA
Source: RNAcentral
CCUACGGGGCGCAGCAGUGAGGAAUAUUGGUCAAUGGGCGGGAGCCUGAACCAGCCAAGCCGCGUGAGGGAAGAAGGUACAGCGUAUCGUAAACCUCUUUUGUCAGGGAACAAAGGCGGGGACUAGUCCCCGGAUGAGGGUACCUGAAGAAAAAGCAUCGGCUAACUCCGUGCCAGCAGCCGCGGUAAUACGGAGGAUGCGAGCGUUAUCCGGAUUUAUUGGGGUUAAAGGGUGCGCAGGCGGCCUGUUAAGUCAGCGGGAAAAGCCCGGGGCUCAACCCCGGCGAGCCGUUGAAACUGGCGGGCUGGAGUUGGAGAGAAGUACGCGGAAUGCGCGGUGUAGCGGUGAAAUGCUUAGAUAUCGCGCAGAACCCCGAUUGCGAAGGCAGCGUACCGGCUCCACACUGACGCUGAGGCACGAAAGCGUGGGUAUCGAACAGGAUUAGAUACCCGAGUAGUC